This 450-nucleotide ribosomal RNA is filed under the name uncultured bacterium. Its description in RNAcentral is "partial 16S ribosomal RNA". It matches the Rfam family "Bacterial small subunit ribosomal RNA", at positions 354 to 796 of the family's 1533-position model. The record is from RNAcentral.
GUGGGGAAUUUUGGACAAUGGGGGGAACCCUGAUCCAGCAACGCCGCGUGAAUGAAGAAGGCCUUAGGGUUGUAAAGUUCUUUUGUCAGAGAGCAAAGUUUUGUUGCUAAUAUCAACAAAAGCUGAGAGUAUCUGAAGAAUAAGCACCGGCUAACUACGUGCCAGCAGCCGCGGUAAUACGUAGGGUGCGAGCGUUAAUCGGAAUUACUGGGCGUAAAGCGUGCGCAGGCGGAUGAUUAAGUUAGAAGUGAAAUCCCCGGGCUUAACCUGGGAACUGCUUUUAAGACUGGUGAUCUAGAGUUUGUCAGAGGGGGGUGGAAUUCCAAGUGUAGCAGUGAAAUGCGUAGAGAUUUGGAGGAACACCGAUGGCGAAGGCAGCCCCCUGGGAUAGAACUGACGCUCAUGUACGAAAGCGUGGGUAGCAAACAGGAUUAGAAACCCCUGUAGUCC